RNAcentral lists this long non-coding RNA (386 nucleotides) under Homo sapiens (human). RNAcentral describes it as "HSALNT0267038". Lineage: Eukaryota; Metazoa; Chordata; Mammalia; Primates; Hominidae. The record is from RNAcentral.
CUGGGAGGCAGGCACGGGACAGCAGCACGGGUUUGCCAGGAAUCAUUUUCCUUUCUACCACCCCAGCCUUGGAAAAACCAAGAAAAGGGGAUGACCCCCUCCCCCAGCCCACCAUCAUUCCCUGCAAGUCUGUGGAUGAAGUCCCUUAUGGAUCCCUAAAAGCUUCAAUUCCACAUAUCCUGUGAUCUCCAGGUGUGAGGAGCAGGCAGGAAUGAUGGGUCCUUGGAGGUGGUGGCCCACACCUGCCCACAGCCAGGCAGAAACUGGAGUGGUGGGAAUGCAUUCUAAGAAAAGGGGCCAACGUAUGCAGAGGCUGUGAUGCAGGAGCAGACAGAAUCUCUCAAGCUUGUGACUUCAGUGUGCUCCAACAAGUCCCGCGGAUGGAG